AGCCCUCUGCGCUGGUGGCUCGCGGGUUAGAGAUGGUGUCGUCAGCUCGUGCCCUCGGGUGCGGGUCAUACUUCGCUACUCUGCCUGCGGGUAUCUUUCCGGCGCGGGGGGCUGCACUUCUCGCCUAGUAGGACGUCGCGACCCGUUGGGUGCCGUUCCAUGGCCCGUGGUGGAGGCCGUGCCGGAGCGUCGUUUCGGCGGCGUUGCUGUUGCACGGACCCGCGGUGACCUGAACGGCUGCCCGACGGUAGCAAAGCAUUGGGAAGGGACCGCACAGAAGGCUGCGUCCGACGCUCGCUCUCAGAGCUACGCUCGGACAGGUCCGUACCCGGUCAGCGGCGCUUCUGCUUCCGGUACUCGUCCGACCCGUCUUGAAACACGGACCAAGGAGUCUAACAUGUACGCGAGUCAUUGGGCUCUGCGAAACCUAAAGGCGAAAUGAAAGUAAAGGCUAGGCACUUGUGCCAAGCUGAGGGGUGAUGGCCGUCCCUUCUGUGGACGGCCCGCAACCCCGGGGCGUCGCGUUCUCUUUGAGAAGUGGCGCACCCAGAGCGUACACGUUGGGACCCGAAAGAUGGUGAACUAUGCCUGGCCAGGACGAAGUCAGGGGAAACCCUGAUGGAGGUCCGUAGCGAUUCUGACGUGCAAAUCGAUCGUCGGAGCUGGGUAUAGGGGCGAAAGACUAAUCGAACCAUCUAGUAGCUGGUUCCCUCCGAAGUUUCCCUCAGGAUAGCUGGCGCUCGGAGGAAAGAGUUUCAUCCGGUAAAGCGAAUGAUUAGAGGCCUUGGGGCCGAAACGACCUCAACCUAUUCUCAAACUUUAAAUGGGUGAGAACUCCGGCUUGCUUCGGUGAAGCCGCGAGUGUUCUUCACGAAUCAGAGUGCCAAGUGGGCCAAUUUUGGUAAGCAGAACUGGCGC
RNAcentral lists this ribosomal RNA (918 nucleotides) under Frankliniella schultzei. RNAcentral describes it as "eukaryotic LSU rRNA". It matches the Rfam family "Eukaryotic large subunit ribosomal RNA", at positions 596 to 1156 of the family's 3401-position model. Lineage: Eukaryota; Metazoa; Arthropoda; Insecta; Thysanoptera; Thripidae. The record is from RNAcentral.